AUUGAACGCUGGCGGCAUGCUUUACACAUGCAAGUCGAACGGCAGCGGGGAGGAGCUUGCUUCUCUGCCGGCGAGUGGCGAACGGGUGAGUCAUACAUCGGAACGUGUCGAGAAGAGGGGGAUAACCACCCGAAAGGGUGGCUAAUACCGCAUAAAUUCUGAGGAAGAAAGCUGGGGACCUAGGAAUAGGCCUAGCGCUUUUUGAGCGGCCGAUGUCGGAUUAGCUAGUUGGUGAGGUAAAGGCUCACCAAGGCGACGAUCUGUAGCGGGUCUGAGAGGAUGAUCCGCCACACUGGGACUGAGACACGGCCCAGACUCCUACGGGAGGCAGCAGUGGGGAAUUUUGGACAAUGGGGGCAACCCUGAUCCAGCCAUGCCGCGUGUAUGAAGAAGGCCUUAGGGUUGUAAAGUACUUUUGUUAGGGAAGAAAAGUCAGCUGUGAAUAAUGGCUGAUACUGACGGUACCUAAAGAAUAAGCACCGGCUAACUACGUG
This 494-nucleotide ribosomal RNA is filed under the name uncultured bacterium. RNAcentral describes it as "partial 16S ribosomal RNA". It matches the Rfam family "Bacterial small subunit ribosomal RNA", at positions 30 to 507 of the family's 1533-position model. The record is from RNAcentral.